CUGUGUGUUUUUCUCUCUGUGUUUCUCUCUGUUUCUCUCUCCUCUCUCUCUCUCCCCCUCUCUCUCCCUCUCUGCCUCUCUCUCUCUCUCCCUCCCCCUCUCCCCCUCUCUCUCCCUCUCUCUCCCUCUCUCUCCCUCUCUGCCUCUCUGCCUCUCUCUCUCUCUCUCCCUGCCUCGGUUUUGGAACUCUCUAUGUGCUCAGCUGUUCUAGAACUGGACCUACUAUUGGGAGGCUCCUGAGUUCUGGCCUCACAGGCUGGAAACAGUGUCCAGCAGACCCUGAUGGAGGGUUUCCAAGAAGCUGUCUACAUUGUUUAUCAUCACCACCAUUACCGUCCUCACCAUCACCACCAUCCUUAGGAGUGAUCUCCUCCAACUCACAUGUGAACUAAGGAUACUCCAGUCCAGUCCUUUCCCGUUAGUCUGACGUGUGGAAGUGACAUCUUACAUGAGAGAAUACUGUGGGGCAAAAGGUAAGACUGUUAUUCCUCAGCAGUGACCUCCUAGGGGUCUCUGUGCUUAACCAGCAUCGCCUUGGAGAACUUCUUUUUCUAGUGUUUAUUUGAGUGUAUCUUCAGAAAUAAUAAACACUUGCAACUCAAUGCCUGCUGCUCUGGGACAAACAGAGCAGAGAAUGGCAUGAUCUUACAACUGACCUGAUCCCCUUGACACCACUAGCAUGAUCAC
Molecule: long non-coding RNA, 687 nt
Filed under: Cricetulus griseus (Chinese hamster)
Lineage: Eukaryota; Metazoa; Chordata; Mammalia; Rodentia; Cricetidae
Description: lncRNA (ENSCGRG00000025563.1)
Source: RNAcentral